UUGUCUGUAUAGCAUAAGGACAGUCCUGCUCACAUUUGUAGCAUCGGAAUUUAUGUAUCCAAGAGACUGAUAAUCAUUGUGUUUCUGUAUUUCAGGCUUUAAUUACGUACCUGAACAGAUCAGUUAAUGCGAUGGCUCAGAUGAAAGAAGCAGUAAACAAUGAGAUGAGAACGCAAGUAGGAAGCUGCAACGCACUACGCGAUAUGACGGGCGCUGCGUUCCUCAUCUCGUGCGGCGUCAUAUCAGAUAGCAUGAAUGGACUGUGGCUCGCAAUGUUGUGCUGUAUCCUGACGCUAACUGUAGCCAUUCCGGCAUCACUCAAAAUGAGCAACUAUUUCCUGAGAACGAAGCAUUAUACAGUCACCGGAAGGUUACUCCGCGGAAGGUGAG
Ornithodoros turicata is the source of this 390-nucleotide long non-coding RNA. RefSeq lists it as uncharacterized. The transcript is spliced from 3 exons. The record is from RefSeq and is a predicted model, not a curated record. Lineage: Eukaryota; Metazoa; Arthropoda; Arachnida; Ixodida; Argasidae.